This is a microRNA precursor of Chlorocebus sabaeus (green monkey), 89 nucleotides long. Lineage: Eukaryota; Metazoa; Chordata; Mammalia; Primates; Cercopithecidae. The record is from Ensembl.
AUGUAUUAGAUUGAGGCAAAAGUAAUUGCCAUUUUUGCAAUUGAAAGUAAUGGCAAAAACCACAAUUACUUUCGCACCAACCUAAUAGA